CCACUCGCCUCCCUCAAAGUCCGGAGCGAAUGCCAUGACACCACCAGCAGAAUAUACAGUACAAGAAAAUGUGAAGGGUUUCGUAUUGCUACAUUGACCUGGCCAGCUGUACUCCUUUCAAAGCGAGUAGAUUGGGUGAAGCAAGCAAUUAAGAAGGCAAACAUCCAAAAAGGACCGGUAUCAAAGAUGCUUUCUGCAAUUGUUUUGGGCCUUGGAAACCGCACUUGGAACAUGGGCUAUAGUUUUGGAUUCCCUAAUUAAGGCCGAGUUGCUCAGACCAGCAAGGAUGGAAAGCAUGCAAGGCACCAGCCGGGAUCAAACCAGGGACCACACACCUCAAAGUCCAGUGCUGACUCCUCUACACUACCAUUAUGCAUUGAUGUAAAGUGACAUAAAGCUCAUCUUUAUUUUUCCUCUCAAUAGAGUAUUAUUUUUAUUUAAUCAGAGGUACAGCGUGGAAUAGGCCCUCCCUGUUCUUUGAGCCAUGCUGCUCUAGCAACCUCUGACUUAACCUUAGCCUAAUCACAGGACAAAUGUGUUGACCAAUUAACCCACUAACCCGUACACCUUUGGACUGUGGGAGGAAACUGGAGCACCGAGUGAAAACCAACUGGGAGCCUGUAUAAUCUCCUUACAGAGGGUGUCAGGACUGAUCUCCUACGUCCCGAGUGACUCGCUAACUGCUACGCUGCCCCCUGCUACCUGAAAGUAUUGACUGGAUUGAGUAUUUAACACAGAUAAGUAUUUAAAUCACCUCUGUCUAAUUUCUUCCCCUUCUUCAGCAAUUCCAAUUCCAUGCCUCCAGACUCCACUUACAUUCUUCUUUAACCUUUUCUAAACGCAGAAGCAUUCAGCAAUGUUGUAAAGUUGGAUAGCAAAACCAAUGACCGUGAACAGAAAAUCCUACAAUAGGUAACGGAUACAGCCAGGUACAUCAUAGGUAAAGCCUCCCCACCACUGAGAGCAUCCACAACAAGCUCUGCCACAAAAAAGUAGCAUCCAUCAACAAAGACCCCUACCAUCCAGGCCUUG
Long non-coding RNA from Hypanus sabinus (Atlantic stingray), 1032 nucleotides. RefSeq lists it as uncharacterized. The record is from RefSeq and is a predicted model, not a curated record. The transcript is spliced from 3 exons. NCBI's taxonomy places the organism in Eukaryota, Metazoa, Chordata, Chondrichthyes, Myliobatiformes, Dasyatidae.